CCUACGGGUGGCAGCAGUGGGGAAUAUUGCACAAUGGCGGAAACUCUGAUGCAGCGACGCCGCGUGAGUGAAGAUGUCCUUUGUUAUGUAAAGCUCUUUCAGCAGGGAAGAAAAUGACGGUACUUGAGUACGACUCCCCGGCUAACUCCGUUCCAGAUGCCGCGGUCCUAGGGAGGAGGCAAGCGUAAUCCGGAUGUACUGGGGUUAUGGGGAGCGUAGACGGCAGUGCAAGUCGGGGGGGAAUGGCGGGGGCUAAACGGGCGAAGUGCCAUGGAAACUGUACGGCUGGAGUGCAGACGAGGUAGGUGGAAUGUCUGGUGUAGCGGUGAAAGGCAUAGAUAUUAGAAAGAACACCAGUGGCGAAGGCAGCUUACUAAACUGUGACUGACGUUGAGGCACGAAAGCGUGGGGAGCAAACAGGAUUAGAUACCCCAGUAGUC
RNAcentral lists this ribosomal RNA (440 nucleotides) under uncultured bacterium. Its description in RNAcentral is "partial 16S ribosomal RNA". It matches the Rfam family "Bacterial small subunit ribosomal RNA", at positions 338 to 795 of the family's 1533-position model. The record is from RNAcentral.